Molecule: long non-coding RNA, 376 nt
Filed under: Musa acuminata (dwarf banana)
Lineage: Eukaryota; Viridiplantae; Streptophyta; Magnoliopsida; Zingiberales; Musaceae
Description: long non-coding RNA (MACU_LNC005406)
Source: RNAcentral
CACGAACAAGUUCUAAGUGCUGUUCUUCCGAAUCUGCAUUCAGACGUAAAUUCGUAUUUUUGUACAUUACAGUUUACGUUUACGUUUGAUUCUGCAGAACUGUCUUCCGUGCUUUUACGAACGAGUUUCUUUGCAGUUUACACUUACAUUUUGAUCCUAUUGACAACUGCAAACUGUCCUCUACAAUUUUACGAACGAGUUUCAACAUUUAGACGUAAAACUGCAUUUAGACGUAAAUCGGCUUUCCUCGCACAAUCAUCAUAUCUCAGUUCACGUUUACGUCUUGAUUUCAACUGCAUACUGCCUUCUGUGAGUAUACAAACGAGUUUCAAAGUUCAGACGUAAAUCUACGUUUAAAACGUAAAUCUGCGUUUAG